GGGAAGUCCAGCUAUCAGGGAAGCUUCCCCAAUCAGGGAAGCAUGAAGUUUUAACCACUGGACCGUCAGAGAAGUCCCUCUUUUUACAUUUUUUAAUGUAGCUACCAGAAAAUUGAAAAUUAAGUGCAUGGCUCACAUUUUUGCCUUGCGUUACAUUUCUUUUGAACAGUGAGCGCUGUUCUGGAACCUCACCACUUAGUGUUGUCCCUGCUCAAGCAGCAUCAGCAUUUCCAGAAAGCUCGUGAGGAAUAGACUCUCAGAGCUCAGCCCAGACCUAAAGAAUCAGAAUCUUCAUUUUAGUCAGAUUCCUGGGGGAUUCAAGUGCGAGAAGCUGCCCUCAGAGGACUUCCUGUAGGUUCAGCUGAUCCGUCUGCUUCCAGGAAGGCAUGCUGGUGUGGCCACUGCACGGUGACAUACUGGACAGCAAGUAAGAGACUUGUAGAGUGUUGCUGCAGAUUCUGUUUUUUUUUUCUUCCUUCCCUGCCUCCCAGCAUGGACCCUUGGGUUGAGGUGAACUUCCACAGGGAGUCUAUGGCCUGAUAAUAUUUUCCAAGGUGGGCUGGGAGCUGGGGUGGGGAAAAGCAGGUGUGUCACCAUAGAAGAGGGAAGCCUCAGACAAGAAGACAAAGUCCUUGUUUGGUCUCAAGUUAAUGGUUAACCUACUAUGGAGAAAGAAGCAGUUGAGACGGUGGACUUUAGUUUCUGGCUGUUUCUCUACAAACUUCUGUGGCCUUGGUUUAAUUAUCCCCCUGUCUUGCAGAACAGCAAAUGCUGGGAUAGACCGGACCCUUUGACACCCAAGUCUUGUGAACUAGGGGACAGAGCCAAGAAGAGUGAGGAGAUUUUUCAAUAUUCAGAGAAAAGAAUGAGGAGACCUGAGGGAGAACUAAACAUGUAUCUUCUGCUGUGCAUGGAAAUGAUGAUUUUCAUAAAGAAAAUAAAUGUACAUGCAAUAAAGCCCAGAGAUAUAAAUGCAGAAAUGAAUAACAAGCUCAAGUUGAAUUUACAAGCUGCUACUGCUGC
This 1023-nucleotide long non-coding RNA is filed under the name Bos indicus x Bos taurus (hybrid cattle). Its description in RNAcentral is "lncRNA (ENSBIXG00005031602.1)". Lineage: Eukaryota; Metazoa; Chordata; Mammalia; Artiodactyla; Bovidae. The record is from RNAcentral.